RNAcentral lists this ribosomal RNA (931 nucleotides) under Leuconostoc citreum. RNAcentral's name for it is "bacterial SSU rRNA". It matches the Rfam family "Bacterial small subunit ribosomal RNA", at positions 152 to 1069 of the family's 1533-position model. The record is from RNAcentral. Lineage: Bacteria; Bacillati; Bacillota; Bacilli; Lactobacillales; Lactobacillaceae.
GGAAACAGAUGCUAAUACCGAAUAAAACUUAGUAUCGCAUGAUAUCAAGUUAAAAGGCGCUACGGCGUCACCUAGAGAUGGAUCCGCGGUGCAUUAGUUAGUUGGUGGGGUAAAGGCUUACCAAGACGAUGAUGCAUAGCCGAGUUGAGAGACUGAUCGGCCACAUUGGGACUGAGACACGGCCCAAACUCCUACGGGAGGCUGCAGUAGGGAAUCUUCCACAAUGGGCGCAAGCCUGAUGGAGCAACGCCGCGUGUGUGAUGAAGGCUUUCGGGUCGUAAAGCACUGUUGUAUGGGAAGAAAUGCUAAAAUAGGGAAUGAUUUUAGUUUGACGGUACCAUACCAGAAAGGGACGGCUAAAUACGUGCCAGCAGCCGCGGUAAUACGUAUGUCCCGAGCGUUAUCCGGAUUUAUUGGGCGUAAAGCGAGCGCAGACGGUUGAUUAAGUCUGAUGUGAAAGCCCGGAGCUCAACUCCGGAAUGGCAUUGGAAACUGGUUAACUUGAGUGUUGUAGAGGUAAGUGGAACUCCAUGUGUAGCGGUGGAAUGCGUAGAUAUAUGGAAGAACACCAGUGGCGAAGGCGGCUUACUGGACAACAACUGACGUUGAGGCUCGAAAGUGUGGGUAGCAAACAGGAUUAGAUACCCUGGUAGUCCACACCGUAAACGAUGAAUACUAGGUGUUAGGAGGUUUCCGCCUCUUAGUGCCGAAGCUAACGCAUUAAGUAUUCCGCCUGGGGAGUACGACCGCAAGGUUGAAACUCAAAGGAAUUGACGGGGACCCGCACAAGCGGUGGAGCAUGUGGUUUAAUUCGAAGCAACGCGAAGAACCUUACCAGGUCUUGACAUCCUUUGAAGCUUUUAGAGAUAGAAGUGUUCUCUUCGGAGACAAAGUGACAGGUGGUGCAUGGUCGUCGUCAGCUCGUGUCGUG